Long non-coding RNA from Carassius gibelio (silver crucian carp), 1961 nucleotides. RefSeq lists it as uncharacterized. The record is from RefSeq and is a predicted model, not a curated record. NCBI's taxonomy places the organism in Eukaryota, Metazoa, Chordata, Actinopteri, Cypriniformes, Cyprinidae. The transcript is spliced from 5 exons.
UCCAGUGGCUACACCAUGUUUCUUAUUAUUAUUUAUUAAUUUCCUCCAGACUUAAACUUAAAUACUGCAAUAACUAAAAAUAGUUUUAUUGAAAUAGGCUUAAUGUUAAAUCAUUUGAAGGAGGAUAGUUUACCUUGAAACUUUAAAGCAAACAUUAAAAAUAUUAUUUAACUAAAUAUGACUAAACGCAUUAAUUUUAUAAAAUAAAAAAACUCUAAUUAUAACAAUCGGUACAAUAGUAAUAUUUAGAUUUUUUUUCUAGUGAAAUAAGUUAAAAUUAUUCAGAAAUAACUGUUCAGCCGUUGUCAAGAAGAAAAUGCAUGAGGCUUGGCGUCCUCGCGCUCCUGCUGUUUGCUCGCGUGCGCGUAGAAGAGUGAUUUCAAAUACAAAGAAGUAACGGCUCCUUUCCUCAAAGAAAGAAACAACUGCGCAAGGUGAGUAAAGGCUCCAAAAUAAAUACACAGGUUUAUUAUGUGUAUACUAAUUCCUACGCUGACACAUUAAACUGUUUGUUUUUUUUUUUUGAUUUGAUUUUUUUGUUUUAACCAUUAAUUUAAUAGCUGCGAUGAUUAAGAGUCUAAUGCACUUUGUGGGACGAAAUGGAGACUACAAACACAAGGUCACAAACAAUAAUUAUUAGUUAGGUUUAACUUACACAUGAUGUUUACGUUUAUUCAUUGUAACUCUUUUCUUCAACUUUUCUAAAUUAUUGUUGUCGUUUAACGUACGUUUGUUAAAUAGUUACACAUCCAUGUUAACUUAACGUUACAUGUAAAGUUAGGCUAUUAGCCUAUUUUUAGAGUCAUUUGCACAUAAUGUAACGUUACAUAAAACUGGUUUUGAUAAUUUUCUCUCCUCAGAAAAUCCAGUAUGACUUCUCUAAAAAUCUCAAAGGAUUCACAGGGCAGCACUAUUUAAUAAAGAAAUGUGGCUCUGUAGUGGACACCUGUGAGGCAGUGGACAGACAGCUGCUGAAGUCUGAUGCUGGCUGACAAUAAACAGACCUCUCUGGAUGUACCUCAUCUUUUGUAGAGUAAUUCUAACAUUGCCCUUCCUGUAACAUGAUGAUCCUGCUGUCCUGGACUGUAUGUGAUGAGCCUACACAUAAUCUCAGAACAGCUGUGGUAAUAGCAGGAGACCCAUUUGGUGAGAGCAGCACUGCAGUCUUUCCUGAUGGAGGAUAUCAUGGACCAUUUGCAUAAGACUGAUGAUGCGUUUCAGCGGCCAUCAGCAUCGUAAAUCCUCACCAUUGUUUUAUAUUUUGAUUUUUUUUUUAAUUAUGUGCAUUAAUAACACUAUACUUUGUAUUAUCUCACAUUUGUAUCAAAUUACAAAAAAAAAAUAGCUAAUGCAAGGGUGUUUCAAAUCCAGUGUCUUUGGGAGGAAUGAUAAAUUUGACAUUGUUCUCUCUUCUGACUGCUGUUAUCAGUCUCUGUCAGAUUUUUUCCUUUGAUUGAAAGUUGUGAAAAUGCUAUCUUUAGAGUUUAUGUUUUGUUAUUUGAGUAAAUGAGAAUGCAAAAAUAUAUUUGUGAUACUCUCCCAUUCACUGCUCUCGAAGUUAUUCUUCCAAUCAGUUACCACUAUUUAGAACAGGAAAGAAAAUGUUACUAUGAAUUGCAUUGUGUCUAAAAUUGAAUUGAAUUUAUUAAUUUAAAUUGUAUCAUUGUUUUAGGUACAUGAAAUGUUUUUUAAAGUUCUAAGAUAAUUGAGUCCCAUUUAUUUGAUAAUAAUUUUACCAAGGUGUAUUUUUUUUUUGUUGUUGUUGUUAUUCGUUUAUAGCUAUAUUACUGAUGUGUCCAUGAAUGGGAUUGUGAUGUGCAAUAUUGACUAUUUAAGGUGAUUAUGGAUAUUGUUGUUGCUUAUCAAUAAACUAUGUUUUAUAUGCAUUUGUUUUAUUUUUUUCAGUUUAUUUUUUUAAAUCAUUAAAAAUGUCAAUAGCAGGAAAAAAUAAAUAAACCAGU